This 465-nucleotide ribosomal RNA is filed under the name Vreelandella stevensii. RNAcentral describes it as "partial 16S ribosomal RNA". It matches the Rfam family "Bacterial small subunit ribosomal RNA", at positions 338 to 795 of the family's 1533-position model. The record is from RNAcentral. Lineage: Bacteria; Pseudomonadati; Pseudomonadota; Gammaproteobacteria; Oceanospirillales; Halomonadaceae.
CCUACGGGAGGCUGCAGUGGGGAAUAUUGGACAAUGGGCGAAAGCCUGAUCCAGCCAUGCCGCGUGUGUGAAGAAGGCCUUCGGGUUGUAAAGCACUUUCAGUGGGGAAGAAAGCCUUGGGGCUAAUACCCUCGAGGAAGGACAUCACCCACAGAAGAAGCACCGGCUAACUCCGUGCCAGCAGCCGCGGUAAUACGGAGGGUGCGAGCGUUAAUCGGAAUUACUGGGCGUAAAGCGCGCGUAGGCGGUCUGAUAAGCCGGUUGUGAAAGCCCCGGGCUCAACCUGGGAACGGCAUCCGGAACUGUCAGGCUAGAGGGCAGGAGAGGAAGGUAGAAUUCCCGGUGUAGCGGUGAAAUGCGUAGAGAUCGGGAGGAAUACCAGUGGCGAAGGCGGCCUUCUGGACUGACACUGACGCUGAGGUGCGAAAGCGUGGGUAGCAAACAGGAUUAGAUACCCGGGUAGUC